Molecule: ribosomal RNA, 306 nt
Filed under: Salmonella enterica subsp. arizonae
Lineage: Bacteria; Pseudomonadati; Pseudomonadota; Gammaproteobacteria; Enterobacterales; Enterobacteriaceae
Description: bacterial SSU rRNA
Rfam family: Bacterial small subunit ribosomal RNA
Source: RNAcentral
CCAGGUGUAGCGGUGAAAUGCGUAGAGAUCUGGAGGAAUACCGGUGGCGAAGGCGGCCCCCUGGACAAAGACUGACGCUCAGGUGCGAAAGCGUGGGGAGCAAACAGGAUUAGAUACCCUGGUAGUCCACGCCGUAAACGAUGUCUACUUGGAGGUUGUGCCCUUGAGGCGUGGCUUCCGGAGCUAACGCGUUAAGUAGACCGCCUGGGGAGUACGGCCGCAAGGUUAAAACUCAAAUGAAUUGACGGGGGCCCGCACAAGCGGUGGAGCAUGUGGUUUAAUUCGAUGCAACGCGAAGAACCUUAC